UAGGGAAUCUUCCACAAUGGACGCAAGUCUGAUGGAGCAACGCCGCGUGAGUGAAGAAGGUUUUCGGAGCGUAAAGCUCUGUUGUUGGUGAAGAAGGAUAGAGGUAGUAACUGGCCUUUAUUUGACGGUAAUCAACCAGAAAGUCACGGCUAACUACGUGCCAGCAGCCGCGGUAAUACGUAGGUGGCAAGCGUUGUCCGGAUUUAUUGGGCGUAAAGCGAGCGCAGGCGGAAGAAUAAGUCUGAUGUGAAAGCCCUCGGCUUAACCGAGGAAUUGCAUCGGAAACUGUUUUUCUUGAAUGCAGAAG
RNAcentral lists this ribosomal RNA (307 nucleotides) under uncultured bacterium. Its description in RNAcentral is "partial 16S ribosomal RNA". It matches the Rfam family "Bacterial small subunit ribosomal RNA", at positions 355 to 654 of the family's 1533-position model. The record is from RNAcentral.